This is a long non-coding RNA of Bactrocera dorsalis (oriental fruit fly), 7729 nucleotides long. RefSeq lists it as uncharacterized. The transcript has 3 exons. The record is from RefSeq and is a predicted model, not a curated record. NCBI's taxonomy places the organism in Eukaryota, Metazoa, Arthropoda, Insecta, Diptera, Tephritidae.
UUAACAAAGUUAGUAGCCGCGGCUCAAGUUGUUCAUAAUUCGUUGAGUUCAACUGCGAAAUUUAUUGUUUUUAUUUACCAUAAUUGCAAAUGAAAUAAAUAGUGUAAGAAGUCAUAGAAAAAUGUGCAAGCAAUUAUAUUUAGAAAAUAUUAAUGCUUGAGCUUAUCCAAACGCGUGUGUGCGGAUGCAUAUAUAUUAUAUAUACUUAUUUACGAUGCAUAAAAAUAAAAACUUAUUUACAUACAUAUAUUAAUUUUAUUUGCCACACUGCCUGCCUGCCGGUUGCAUACAUAUUUGGCUGUGGCGGCGCCAUCGCUGCAAUUGCUGCGUUUGGUAGUGGCAUGUGAUGGCUCAGCAGCAAUGAUGAAACGCUAUAAUGGCAACCGCAGCUAAUGAAAAAAAUGCUUAAAAUGUUUCGCAUUACGUUUAUUGCAACAAUUUUAGCGGCGCUGCAGCAGCAGCAGCAAAAAAUGGAGAAAUACGCCACACCAACAACAAAAAAAGCAAUCAAAUGCGAAAUAACUGCGCCUUGGCUCAAUGGCGGGCGCCUGGAGAAAUGGUUUUUGAGUUGAAUGGCGGCGGUACACUGUGACAGUGUGUCAGUGUUGAUAUUAUUGGCACUAAAAAAAAUAUUGAAAACUUAAUAUUUGGUUGUCAUGGCAAUCCACUCCUGCGACACACUGCAGUAUCCUGGUACGGUUGGAAUCAUUCCAGCAAAACUGCGGAUAUGGUAUAAGCUACACAUACGGUGGAUAAAGGCGUUUUGUAGCGCUAUGUGUCGGCCUCAUGUAGAGAGGCACGCGUAGUUUCUUAAUGUCGCAGUCACGUAGAAAGAACUCAACCUUAUAAUAUCUUAAACCAUCACGACAGGUUGGCAGUACCACCUGGCAGCUUGUCCAAAGCACAACACGGUUAUACAAACGGCAGAACCGUAGAGACUUCACUAUCGAAAAUGUUAUUUAUCAUCGAAAGAGCUCUUAAAUAUAAAGAAAACACUAUUGGAAUGCUCUUCGAAAUGUUUGUAAUAUUCAAUAACAUUCCUACGGAAUCUAUUCUGAACAGUAACCAAAUAACGAGGUGUUGAUUCUGCUACACAAUGUGUCAGAAACCUAUGAAUCUCUCGAAGGGUAAAAGCAAAAAGCAACGAUGCUAAAAUUAUUAAGGAAGCAGUGGCGCUCCACAGACUGGAGUGAUAUUUCCGUUCCUAAGGACAUUAGGGGUGAACAAACUGUUCAGAAACUUAGACGACAAUGCCUCCAACAUAGUACAAUAUGCAGACAACAUUGUCAUCUUAAUAACGGAAAGGUCUCUACAGUCAUUAGUAAUAUUAUGACCGUCACUAUCAAUACUGCUCAGAAUUGGAUAUCUGCCUUUUUCUAUUAAAAAAUACAAAAUACCUCCAUGGAAACUCCCUUCCAAAAAUGGAUCUCUACUUGCUCUCAUUUAUUAUCCCAAGUUCCUUAGGGUAGUCUGGGACAGUAAACUGCUGUUGAAGCGCAAAAAAGAAUAAGUUAGGCCAGCAAAGCGUUAUAUGCAUGUACACAAAUCCUCGACACUACCGGGAGAGCAUUUUUCCUCUCUCAUGUACUGGUGCUACCCAGCAGUGUCAAAACCAAUAUUUUUCUACAGGCAAAUGGAAAUCUACCUAUUGAGAAGCGGAAGUUUGGCUGUGCAUAACAAGAGCUUUAAGGACCACCCCAACGGCGAUACUAAAAUAGCCACCAAUAGACCAUUUGUGUGGUAAAAUCGGCAGGACGUCUACUGGCUGUAGGAGAAGCUACUUAGUGAAUUUUCGGGCAUAACUCAGUUGGUUAUGGCAGAUUGGUAGGCACAUACCACAUGAUCUCGCAUUUCAUCUUUGAAAGAAUAUUCAAGGUAAUGUUAGAAAGUUGGCGUAAAGGUAUGGUAGUCGGGCGGAAUAUAUUAAAAAUUUUUCAAGGUUGCUCGCAUACCGGCGAGAAGUGUCUUUAAAGGCAGAGUUGCAGCGAAGAGUGUCGCCAGAAACAAGCGACUUAACUUUACUGGGUCGCAGGUCACAAAUUCAAUGAAAUAGUAGAAAAGGUCGUCAGGACUGAUCGGGUAUCGUCCGAUAACGCCACCGAUACUGGAAAACCCAUACACAAAGUUCAUAUUUCUGAUCUUAAUGAAGCAUAAAAAGAUCCCAAAUAUCGAUAAGCUUGAUUUUCUCUCAAAGAAAAUUCUUAUAUUUGUAAUUAUUGAGAAUGCGAAAAUACAUAUUCAGCAUUCGAUAGAUUAUUUAGUGUGAUAAAUGUUGUUUGACUUUAAUUUUAUAUAAGUAUUUUAAAAUUAAUAUCACCACAAUUGAGAACCAUUUGACCUCGUUUGAUCUCAUAGCCACUAAAGAAGCGUCCAGAAAUACAACAAAGUAUAUUUCGAUUAGCACCACUGUGCAAGCAUAUUGCAUUUAUAUUUCUGCAAUAGCAAUUGCCACCGCCAUGAAAACAAUCAUGCAAAUUAAAACAAAAAAAAAACAACAAUAACGCUAGAAAUAAAAUGCGGAAAAGGAGAAACGGAAAUUCACCAAAAAAGUAGACGAAAUCCAUUCAAAGUGAAUGAGAAUACAAAAUGCAUUUUCAACUGGUUGGCGGCAAGCAAUUUCAAAUUGCCACUACAAAAAUGUGGCAACAUUGCAGCUAUGUGGCACACACUACGGGGUGCUAACGGUGCCAAAGGCAGCACUAAAAACUACAAAUAGUGCAGCAGUAGUCGUUGUAGCUAUUACCAGCCAUAUUACCUUGCAGCGCCAUGACAUUUGGUCAUUAUGCCGCAAGUAUGUGGUAAAUACCAAAAAAAAAACAAAAACAACAAAAUUAAAGGCUGAAAACCCCCAUCAAUACAAAAACAAAUGCAGUGCAAAAACAGCUAAUGCCAUGACACCAAAAGCCGCACGAAACUACAUCGGCCAGUUGACUGGCCAAUCGGUCAGCCGGCCAGGAAAAAAGCGUCCACCGACCAGCAACCAGCGACCAGCGGUCACAAGCCGCUGAAAAUGGCCAAAUAAAUCAAAAGUGUGCGCACAACCGUUAGUACGGCCGCGGCAGUACGCCGCAGACACCCCACAAGUUGCACAGUUGCGCGUAACCGCCACCAUGCAACGCCGGUACAUUGUUUUUGCUAUUGCCAUGUUGCAUUUGCAUAUGCAGCCGUGGCAGUUGCAGCGGUAGCGACAUUCUACAUGCAAAUACCUGGCAACAAUCGCAGCGUUACAAUCUCAAAGUGAGCGGAAAAAGACCAACAACUGCCAACAGCGUAUCGCCAGCGCGAGACCAGCGUCACCAACUGCGAACACUGCUGCCCUGCUAUGUGUUGCACCCCGCCACCUGCGAAGGCCUAGCACCACUAUUCAAGCGCACCGCCGGAAGUGCUAAGUCGAAAUUAUUUUUUAGUGGCAACAGAAAUACUUAGCAACGCAAAAAAUUUCGCACACACACACACACGCACACAUUCUUCAUUUGCUUGCAUACUUACAGACAUAUUUACUUGCAACUGCUUGUAUUUACACGCUUAUAAGGAGUUAUACGCGCAUUGCAUGCUUGUCGGUCCGAUUUCGCGAGUGGCAAAUGCAAAUGUGUAACGCGGCGGUGGUGGUGGCGGCAACGACGCGGUGAGUUGACUUCAUAAGCGCUGCUAAAGUGGCCUAUCGCAAGCGAUCUGCCAGCAAAUGUUGUAAAUGCAACGCGGAAUGUUUUCUUUAUUUUUAUCAUGAAAUACUAUUUUUGCCAACAUUAAACAGUUAUGUAUGCAUAUGUAUGUAUAGGUAUGAUAUGUAUAUUGUUAGUCCUUAUAUUGCCAAGGUAAUUGAGUAAAAAUUGAAAUAUCUUGAUAAAAGCCGUCAUGUGGCAAGUACUCGUACAGUGGGUGUUGGCUUGAGUCUACCACACUAGAAGUGCGUCAAUAUUAAAGGCAAUAAGUUUAGCUGAUAACUCUGAUUCAUUCUAUGAGUUUCUAAGCAACUAAAAUUAAAUUUAAUAUAAAAAGUGCAAACUUAACUAUAAGUUCCGAUUUGUCUGAAUUUCGGUCUUGUAGGAAAUCUUCAAAAUUUUACUCUUUCAGCUUAUCAUACAGGCAGAAUAAUACUGCUACCAAUCACAUUGUAUCAUACCAUUAGGUGUUGGAAAGGUGAGAUUUUGAGCUUCAUUUAGCCAAAAAAAUUCGAGAAGUUGAAAAAAAGUUGCAGAUGUUCAAAAAUGAGUGAAAAUAAUGAAGAAAUUCGCUAUAUUUUGAAAGUUUUGUAUAAAAAAGAGAAGGAUGCCACACAAGCCACCAAUGAAAUUUAUGAAUUUUACAUAGACGAUGCAGUAUCAGCUCAUGUAGCACAACAAUGGUUCGCUUGCUUUCGUUCGGAAAAUUUCGAUGUGAAAAAUGCACCUCGCUCUUGUCAACCUAUCGUUGAAAAACUCGAUGAAAUUAUGAAAAGGAUUGACCAGGACCGUCACAUAAGCAGCCAUGACAUCGCUAAGGAACUUAACAUUCAUCAUCAAACGGUUUUGAACCAUUUAAAAAAGGCUGGCUACAAAAAGAAGCUCGAUGUUUGGGUACCACAUGAAUUGUCUGUGAAAAAUUUAAUGAACCGAAUUAACAUCUGCGAUCCUUUGCUUCAGAACGAAAUGAACAAUUUCUGAAGCAAAUGGUAACAGGAGACGAAAAGUGGAUCAAAUAUGACAAUGAUGGGGGAAAAAGGACAUGGUCCCAGCGUGAUGAAGCUCAACAAAUGGUCGCAAAGCCAGGAUGGACGCCUUGAAAAGUUGUGCUGAGUGUUUGAUGGGAUUGGAAAGGAAUCAUCCACUAUUAGGUACUUCAGCCUGAUCGAACGAUUAAUUCUACAUUGGACUGUCAACAACUGAUGAGAUUGAAGCAAGCAAUCAAAACAAAUUGCCACAACUGAUCAACAGAAAAGGCUUCGUGUUCCAUCAAAACAAUGCUAGACCACACACAUCUUUGAUGACUCGGCAAAAACUGGGAGAGCUUGGCUGGGAAGUUUUGAUAUAUCCACCACAGAGCUCUGACCUUGCAUCAUCGGACUAUCAUUUAUUUCGGUAAAUGCAGAACUCCCUUAAUGGAGUAAAGUUGGCUUCAAGAGAAGCCUGUAAAAAUUGCUUGUCACAGCUUUUCGCUGAGAAACCAGAAACGUUUUACACUGAUGGAAUAAUGUCUUCAGCGGAAAAAGUGACAAAAAGUGAUCGACCAAAAUGGUAAAUAUUUAGUUUAUUAAAGUUCAUUAUUAAUAUAAAAAAAAUAAGUUGAAGUUUGACUGGAAAUACGAAAAAACUUUCUCGGCUACCCUAUAUACAAGCUCUGUUGUGAUGCCGUUACAUCCUCAAAAAAUCAAUGUUAAGUUCUUUAUGGGAACAGUGAAUGGAGAACAUAGAGUCAUGAAAUAUUACUUUUUCGUACCAGAAUUGCAGAGCAUUGAUGUGGACGAUCUUUGCUUCCAACAAGACGGCGCUACAUGCUAUGCGGCUAACAAAACAAUCAUUUUUUUUUUAAGGAAACUUUUGAUGAACGCAUUAUCUCAUGUAGUGGGCGCUUGAAGUGGCCUCCAAGACUGUGUGAUUUAAUCUCGUUCUCAAGUACUUGUAGUCUUAUUCUCACAAAAUCUAUCUCCAGUGCUAAACUCGAGGCUUUAAACCACUAUGGCGCUUUCACAAAGAUUUCAGCUUAUACACAUAUACAUAUAUGUAUAAUAGACGAAAAAGUUUGGAAAUCUUCUAACGAAAUGUCAUCUGUCUUCAUAUCUAUAUAGAAGUUGAUGAAAGAUAGGUAUCAGUAAUGCGUGCUUAAAGAGUUUCAGCCGGAUCAUACAGAGAAAGAUGCAAGAGAGUCGCACUAAAAAGCUAUACAUUUUCAUAAACAGUCACUUACCUGAUGAGGUGGUGUAUUGCUUCAUGAGACUAUAAGGCUUUAACCUAGAAAGUUAGAUAAUUGUAAAGUUUGCAGCAUUAUAAUCCAGCUCAGUGCCUUGCGUACAAAUUAAUAUAUGUAUGUAUGAACUUUCUAUAUUUAAUCGCAUUGAAUUAAAGAAAGCAAUUAUAAAUGAAAUUAAAUAUACAAUAUUUUUUGUGAAAGCAUAUAAGCAAGCAUAUACAUUAUUUAUGUAUGAUUACGGGCUCUGCCACUACACCCUACCCGCUCACUACCCAAUACUCCUAACCGAAUGCAUUUAAUGUGUAGACAUAUAUAAUAUUAUUUUUAUAUAAAAUGUUUAUUAUUGUGUUGUCGACCGACAUGUAACGCUUCAAAUUAUUUGUACAAGCAUGCUCUCGUACAUGUGUAUGCCCGUAAGUAAGUACAAAUAUAUACAGAUGUAUGUACAUAGUAUUUAUAUCUACGGUAAUGCAGCGUAACACGUUAUGAUAAUCAGCGUAACACAAAUGGAAUGAAACAUUAACGAAAAGCGAAAAGUACGAGAAGAUCUCAAGUCAAAGUGUCAAUCAAAUAAACUGACAGGCACCACAGCACCGCCGCGCAGCCGCCACGCCCUGCCCUCGACAUAACGAAAGGUCGUCGAAAAAAGCCACCAUCGUCGAGGGUUGGCUGAAGGCAGACAAAAGCGCUAUAUCUAAAUGAUAUUGCUCAUAAGGUAGCCGACGCGCUAAAGCCACGCUGGGCGAACCAGCCGCUAGGCAAAGAGCCAGCCGGCCAGUUGGACAGACAAACAAACAAACAAAUGAAAUGAAAUGAACAGUUGGAGCGCGCAGUAGGAGUAUUAGCCUGGUGGUUAAACAAACGCUCAAACUCAGAUGGGGCUUUGUGGUAAUAGAAAUGAGCCAAUCAAACCGUUAGCUGGUUGGAUUGCGCAAAUAAAGCGUUUUUGGCAUACAGCUGUGGAUGCUGUCGUAUAGCAAACAAACAGCUGCGUCAUCCACUCUGGCAAUUCUAAAACUCUAAGCAGAAUGUGAAUAAAGCGCUUUCUCAAAAGCAAGCGGUGUUUUCAAAGUAUUGAAAGCCAAUUUAUAUAAAAUAUUUAUAUUUUUUAAUAAUUUCUGAAAAUUAUAAAAAAUUGUUAAAAAAAAAAAUACAAAAAUUGUUAAAACAAAAUUUUAUAAAAAAUUGUUAAAAAUUUAUAAAAAAAAAUGUUAACAAUUAUUUCGCCAUAAUUAUUUAAUAAAUAGCUUUAAAUGAUUGAUUUUGCAUCAUUUAUCUUUGACAAAAUUCGUUUUGACGCUAAUGAACUUAAAUUACUAGUAAUUUGCUAAUUAAGUAUACUUACAUAAAUAUAUUUAUAUUUUUAUUAGCCAACUUUGUCAACCCUUUUGCGGCGAAUUCGCAAGAUUUCCAUUGCAAAUCUAUGCACUCGAUUUUCAUUCAUUAAAAAUUGCAAAAAUAAACAACAAAAACAUCGAAAGCAUUUAUAAUUAAUUAAUAAUUUACUAAAAGGAGUUUAUGUUAUUUAUAAUAAUUAAUAUGACAAUGCAGUCGCAUGAACAUCCAUAUGUGCAUGUUGCAGCCAAUUUACAUAAUUUUUUGCUUUAAAUGUUAAUUACUGAUCGCUUGUUGUUUAUAUUUGAUUUAUGUGGUAUUUUUGUGUGUCAGUGUGUUUUGCGAAAUCGGAUUUAAUUAUUGUCGGUAAUGGGAGUAUGUAUGCAGAUGUUUUUGCUGUUGUUAUAUUGAGUAAUUGGCAAAUGCCGGGUGUCAGUCGCUUUCAAGUGGUUGGCAGCAAUUUAAAAAUCCAUAACAUUUUGCUGAUUGCUUAGUUAAAUAUUACAGU